AAUGGUGAAAAAAAGGUUCAUUGGAUUGCAUGGAAGAAAAUGUGUGUUAGCAAGCAAGAUGGAGGUAUGGGCUUUCGUGACAUGGAGGCUUUUAAUCAAGCUUUGCUUGCAAAGCAGGCAUGGAGGAUCCUGCAAGUCCCCUCCUCUCUCUGCUCUAGGGUACUAAAGGCUAGAUAUUUCACCAAUGGUUCCAUUCUCAGUGCAACAUGUCCGAGUGGAGCAUCGUUCACGUUCAGAAGUAUCUUGUAUGGUCGAGAU
Molecule: ribosomal RNA, 258 nt
Filed under: Triticum aestivum (bread wheat)
Lineage: Eukaryota; Viridiplantae; Streptophyta; Magnoliopsida; Poales; Poaceae
Description: partial small subunit ribosomal RNA
Source: RNAcentral